AGGUCUAUCAUAUAGUGGUAUUAUGCUGAGCUCCAACCUCAGUCACCAGGGUUCGAAUCCUUGUGGGCCUG
Molecule: transfer RNA, 71 nt
Filed under: Erwinia phage FBB1
Lineage: Duplodnaviria; Heunggongvirae; Uroviricota; Caudoviricetes; Pantevenvirales; Straboviridae
Rfam family: tRNA
About the family: Transfer RNA (tRNA) molecules are approximately 80 nucleotides in length. Their secondary structure includes four short double-helical elements and three loops (D, anti-codon, and T loops). Further hydrogen bonds mediate the characteristic L-shaped molecular structure. tRNAs have two regions of fundamental functional importance: the anti-codon, which is responsible for specific mRNA codon recognition, and the 3' end, to which the tRNAs corresponding amino acid is attached (by aminoacyl-tRNA synthetases). tRNAs cope with the degeneracy of the genetic code in two manners: having more than one tRNA (with a specific anti-codon) for a particular amino acid; and 'wobble' base-pairing, i.e. permitting non-standard base-pairing at the 3rd anti-codon position.
Source: Rfam by way of RNAcentral